RNAcentral lists this ribosomal RNA (678 nucleotides) under Chrysophyceae sp. Its description in RNAcentral is "eukaryotic LSU rRNA". It matches the Rfam family "Eukaryotic large subunit ribosomal RNA", at positions 113 to 887 of the family's 3401-position model. Lineage: Eukaryota; Chrysophyceae. The record is from RNAcentral.
ACUGAAAAUCUUCGGAAUUGUAGUCUGUCGAAGCCAAGUCAGCGAUCUCUUUAUCUUAAGUCUCUUGGAAUAGAGCGCCAUGGAGGGUGACAGCCCCGUUUAUAGAUAAAGCGUGAGCGUACGACUGGCUUUCUACGAGUCGAGUUGUUUGGGAUUGCAGCUCUAAUUGGGUGGUAAAUUCCAUCUAAAGCUAAAUAUUGGUGGGAGACCGAUAGCGAACAAGUACCGUGAGGGAAAGAUGAAAAGAACUUUGAAAAGAGAGUGAAAAGUACCUGAAAUUGCUGAAAAGGAACCGAUAGGCACCAGUGUUUUGGAGGAUUYUAUUCUCCCUGAGGUUAUGCUUUCUUUUUGACGCAAGAAAAGACUUGGUGUUCGUGUGACAUCAGGAAUCUGUUGUGUCGGCGAGAGACUAUAACAAAAUGGUUCUUAUCAACCCGUCUUGAAACACGGACCAAGGAGUCUAACAUGCAUGCGAGUGCUCGGGGUGAACCCCCCAGCGCGUAAUGAAAGUAAAGAGCUUCGGCUCUAGGUAGGAUCUCUUGUGCACUAUCGACCGACCAUUGUCUCUCGAGACUAAGGUUUGAGUGUGAGCAUUCAUGUUGGGACCCGAAAGAUGGUGAACUAUUCCUGAGUAGGACGAAGUCAGGGGAAACUCUGAUGGAGGUCCGUAGCGAUUCU